UAAAUGACUCCUGGCAAUGGAUAUCUUGGCUCUCGUGUCGAUGAAGAACGCUACCCGACCAUGCGACACUUGGUGUGAAUUGCAGUAAUCCCGUGAACCACGAGUCUUUGAACUGCAAGUUGCGCUCAAGGCUAUUAAGCCGAGAGCACGUCUGUUUGGGCGUCAUGC
Molecule: ribosomal RNA, 168 nt
Filed under: Allium trachyscordum
Lineage: Eukaryota; Viridiplantae; Streptophyta; Magnoliopsida; Asparagales; Amaryllidaceae
Description: 5.8S ribosomal RNA
Rfam family: 5.8S ribosomal RNA
About the family: 5.8S ribosomal RNA (5.8S rRNA) is a component of the large subunit of the eukaryotic ribosome. It is transcribed by RNA polymerase I as part of the 45S precursor that also contains 18S and 28S rRNA.
Source: RNAcentral